UUUUUUUUAAAGGAGCAUUUGUUUUUGCAGAAGAAAGCUCGGACCGCUGGGUGGUGUAGUUGAAGCUGGAUUGGUUGGUUGUGAUCUGUACUAAUUGUGAAAUCGAAUGGAAGAAAUCCAUGUCCAUUUGUUGUACCGAAGUCCCUUGAGCCAUAAACCUAUUCCACACCGCUUAGUGCAGUGCUUUCCACUUACUGUCUGGAGAGUAAAGUUGGGUGGAUUUGAUAUCAGAAUACGAUGACUAGCGGAAAAGAUGAGAAGAAAAAGGGAGAUUAAGAGAAUGGCGAGCUCUUUGGCCUUCUUCAACAGCCCACUUCUCCUCUUGGAAAACGUCACUUGUCUGCUAGUAGAGUUGUCGAUUCUCUGGAUCACAAUCUUCC
Molecule: long non-coding RNA, 380 nt
Organism: Andrographis paniculata
Lineage: Eukaryota; Viridiplantae; Streptophyta; Magnoliopsida; Lamiales; Acanthaceae
Exons: 4
Source: RefSeq, a predicted model, not a curated record